This 240-nucleotide ribosomal RNA is filed under the name Alphaproteobacteria bacterium. RNAcentral describes it as "partial 23S ribosomal RNA". It matches the Rfam family "Bacterial large subunit ribosomal RNA", at positions 2676 to 2925 of the family's 2925-position model. Lineage: Bacteria; Pseudomonadati; Pseudomonadota; Alphaproteobacteria. The record is from RNAcentral.
CCUUAGUACGAGAGGACCGGGUUGGACGUACCACUGGUGUACCUGUUGUUCUGCCAAGAGCAUACGCAGGGUAGCUACGUACGGAACGGAUAAACGCUGAAAGCAUCUAAGCGUGAAACCGACCUCAAAACUAGUUUUCCCCAUUAGGAUCGUCGUAGACUACGACGUUGAUAGGCCGGGUGUGUAAGGGCAGCAAUGUCUUGAGCUUACCGGUACUAAUAAUUCGAUCGGCUUGAAUCU